RNAcentral lists this long non-coding RNA (581 nucleotides) under Homo sapiens (human). RNAcentral's name for it is "non-protein coding lnc-NOP16-1:2". The record is from RNAcentral. Lineage: Eukaryota; Metazoa; Chordata; Mammalia; Primates; Hominidae.
AGUGGCUCACGCCUGUAAUCCCAGCAGUGGGAGGCUGAGCCCGUGCACCACCAGCGGGUCCAGCUACAAACCCAGUUGCCAAUACAGCCUAAGGACGAGCCUGCCCACAACUAUUCCAGUUCCAUUUGGCACAGCCAGGGGCAGGGACAGAAGGGCCCUGCAGGACUCCGCCUCCCCACCUCUGCACAGAUCCUCUCUCCUUUCCCCUAAUACUCCCAUCAUCCUCCUUUUAGCUUCUUAGAGGAAUCAGCAGCUCAGCUUAGCUUAGAUUUAGCUGAUCAAUCCCAAAGAAGGAUGUGGCUCAUCCUCUUGGCCAUCCCUGGAGUCGCAGCACACGCUUGGCUGGUGUGGGUCCACAGAGGUUCUCAUGGGUGGGCCCAGCAGAGGGGCCCCUCAGGAGAGGGAUUCUAGGGAGCUAGACUGAGACAAGCCUGGCCCUGACUGUCGCCUCCUGCCUUCUGGUCCUGGCCAUUCCUGCCCCUUUCUCUCUCCAGAGCUUGGGAGGAGUCAGAACAUUGCUCUAGCCGCUGGUGAUCUCUCCUGGUUGCCAACCCUCCUGGCCAUGACUGAUCUCCCCACUG